RNAcentral lists this unclassified non-coding RNA (200 nucleotides) under Helotiaceae sp. Its description in RNAcentral is "partial internal transcribed spacer 2". Lineage: Eukaryota; Fungi; Ascomycota; Leotiomycetes; Helotiales; Helotiaceae. The record is from RNAcentral.
UUAAGUUCAGCGGGUAUCCCUACCUGAUCCGAGGUCAACCUUUAAAAAUUUGGGGUUGGUUGGCAAGCCUCCACCCGGACCUCCAUAGCGAGAAGAAUUACUACGCUUAGAGCCGGAUGGCACCGCCACUGAUUUUAAGGCCCGCCCAGAGGCGAAAGCCCAAGACCCGGCAAGCUGGAUUGGUUUAAAUGACGCUCGAA